Molecule: unclassified non-coding RNA, 343 nt
Filed under: soil metagenome
Description: partial contains 5.8S ribosomal RNA, internal transcribed spacer 2, and large subunit ribosomal RNA
Rfam family: 5.8S ribosomal RNA (bases 1-120)
Source: RNAcentral
GAUGAAGAACGUAGCGAAAUGCGAUAAGUAAUGUGAAUUGCAGAAUUCAGUGAAUCAUCGAAUCUUUGAACGCACAUUGCGCCCGCUAGUAUUCUGGCGGGCAUGCCUGUCCGAGCGUCAUUUCAACCCUCAAGCCCCCGGGCUUGGUGUUGGGGAUCGGCGAGCCUCCGCGCCCGCCGUCCCCUAAAUCUAGUGGCGGUCUCGCUGUAGCUUCCUCUGCGUAGUAGCACACCUCGCACUGGGAAACAGCGCGGCCACGCCGUUAAACCCCCAACUUCUGAACGUUUGACCUCGGAUCAGGUACGAAUACCCGCUGAACUUAAGCAUAUCAAUAAGCGGAGGA